CCUGCUUCGGCAACAGACUGGCAACAAGAGAGGCUACAUCAGGAGGACAGGUUGGCUGCUGAAAUCCAUUUUCUUGAAGUUGAUUCUGGCCACAGGAGGGUUAAUUUUUACUUGAAGCAACUGCUCCGUGAUUCCAGCCUGAUUAUAUCACAUCACAUCCCCAAAUUCUGCCUAGAAGAGAACCCACAGUUAAUCCAUCAAACGUGAAUGAAUCCAGAGUUUUCAAUCACAAUUUACCAGAACUUGCAGCAUUCAAUAAAGAUUAGAUGGUUAAAUGCUGUCUCCUUUGUUGAAUGGCAAGAAAGGCUAACUGCUUGGGUGGCUUUCCAUAGAGCCACAAGGUUAUGGAUGAGCGAGUCCAGGACAGAAUGAUCACACAGAAUCAUGUUCUUUCCCUCCUGUUUCUUAGUGAACAUCAGCAUCAUCUGAACUGUAAUUACAGAUUCCUUUGAGGCACAGAAAUGGAGUUAGUUUUCCCAUUCCAUAGAGAUGAAAAACCAUUAGCAGCCAUACCUGGAGUGGAAAAUAAGAAAUAUUAAAUCCUGAAGACAAGUGAAGACAAUUUAAAGUGACAGAUCCUGUGAAUGAAGAAUAAACGUAUCAUAAAUUCCUUCAAAAACAUAUUGUACCCCAGAGAUAUGGAUACACACACACCUGAGAGAAGUUGUCACAAUGCAAAUGGUUCAUUUCAUAAAUAAAAAAAUUUAAGUGCCCAGCUAUACAACCUGUCACAACAUAAUCAUUCAAACCAGUGAAAGGGAUCGCUCUCCCAUACAUCAAAAACAUUUCUAAGACAAGCAACUAUCUACUACAAUCUCUCAUUAUCACUGUAGCAUACAAAUCAACAAAAUUACUCCAAAAUAUCUUAAAUGAAGCCAAGACACAGUAACCAAAUAAUUAAAACCAGAAGUCAUCUGGUUAAGAUAAGGAAUAAAAUAGGCACUAGGUAUAUAGGACAGACAGGUAAAGACUGGUCAAAUGCAUUGACAAAAGUCAAUUAGGAGCCAGAAGACAUGACAAAAAUUCACUAAUCUCUCAACACAUAGACAAAUUCAACCACAAUUUCAACUGGGAAACUCUUGAUAUUGUAGACCAGUGGCUCUCAACCUGUGGGUUGGGACCCCAUUUGGGGUCGAACGACCAU
This is a long non-coding RNA of Crotalus tigris (Tiger rattlesnake), 1144 nucleotides long. RefSeq lists it as uncharacterized. The transcript is spliced from 4 exons. Lineage: Eukaryota; Metazoa; Chordata; Lepidosauria; Squamata; Viperidae. The record is from RefSeq and is a predicted model, not a curated record.